GAUGAACGCUGGCGGCGUGCCUAAUACAUGCAAGUCGAGCGAACGGACGAGAAGCUUGCUUCUCUGAUGUUAGCGGCGGACGGGUGAGUAACACGUGGAUAACCUACCUAUAAGACUGGGAUAACUUCGGGAAACCGGAGCUAAUACCGGAUAAUAUUUUGAACCGCAUGGUUCAAAAGUGAAAGACGGUCUUGCUGUCACUUAUAGAUGGAUCCGCGCUGCAUUAGCUAGUUGGUAAGGUAACGGCUUACCAAGGCAACGAUGCAUAGCCGACCUGAGAGGGUGAUCGGCCACACUGGAACUGAGACACGGUCCAGACUCCUACGGGAGGCAGCAGUAGGGAAUCUUCCGCAAUGGGCGAAAGCCUGACGGAGCAACGCCGCGUGAGUGAUGAAGGUCUUCGGAUCGUAAAACUCUGUUAUUAGGGAAGAACAUAUGUGUAAGUAACUGUGCACAUCUUGACGGUACCUAAUCAGAAAGCCACGGCUAACUACGUGCCAGCAGCCGCGGUAAUACGUAGGUGGCAAGCGUUAUCCGGAAUUAUUGGGCGUAAAGCGCGCGUAGGCGGUUUUUUAAGUCUGAUGUGAAAGCCCACGGCUCAACCGUGGAGGGUCAUUGGAAACUGGAAAACUUGAGUGCAGAAGAGGAAAGUGGAACUCCAUGUGUAGCGGUGAAAUGCGCAGAGAUAUGGAGGAACACCAGUGGCGAAGGCGACUUUCUGGUCUGUAACUGACGCUGAUGUGCGAAAGCGUGGGGAUCGAACAGGAUUAGAUACCCUGGUAGUCCACGCCGUAAACGAUGAGUGCUAAGUGUUAGGGGGUUUCCGCCCCUUAGUGCUGCAGCUAACGCAUUAAGCACUCCGCCUGGGGAGUACGACCGCAAGGUUGAAACUCAAAGGAAUUGACGGGGACCCGCACAAGCGGUGGAGCAUGUGGUUUAAUUCGAAGCAACGCGAAGAACCUUACCAAAUCUUGACAUCCUUUGACAACUCUAGAGAUAGAGCCUUCCCCUUCGGGGGACAAAGUGACAGGUGGUGCAUGGUUGUCGUCAGCUCGUGUCGUGAGAUGUUGGGUUAAGUCCCGCAACGAGCGCAACCCUUAAGCUUAGUUGCCAUCAUUAAGUUGGGCACUCUAAGUUGACUGCCGGUGGCAAACCGGAGGAAGGUGGGGAUGACGUCAAAUCAUCAUGCCCCUUAUGAUUUGGGCUACACACGUGCUACAAUGGACAAUACAAAGGGCAGCGAAACCGCGAGGUCAAGCAAAUCCCAUAAAGUUGUUCUCAGUUCGGAUUGUAGUCUGCAACUCGACUACAUGAAGCUGGAAUCGCUAGUAAUCGUAGAUCAGCAUGCUACGGUGAAUACGUUCCCGGGUCU
This 1372-nucleotide ribosomal RNA is filed under the name uncultured bacterium. Its description in RNAcentral is "bacterial SSU rRNA". It matches the Rfam family "Bacterial small subunit ribosomal RNA", at positions 28 to 1381 of the family's 1533-position model. The record is from RNAcentral.